CCUACGGGUCGCACCAGUGGGGAAUAUUGCACAAUGGGCGGAAGCCUGAUGCAGCAACGCCGCGUGCGGGAUGACGGCCUUCGGGUUGUAAACCGCUUUCGCCUGUGACGAAGCGUGAGUGACGGUAAUGGGUAAAGAAGCACCGGCUAACUACGUGCCAGCAGCCGCGGUGAUACGUAGGGUGCGAGCGUUGUCCGGAUUUAUUGGGCGUAAAGGGCUCGUAGGUGGUUGAUCGCGUCGGAAGUGUAAUCUUGGGGCUUAACCCUGAGCGUGCUUUCGAUACGGGUUGACUUGAGGAAGGUAGGGGAGAAUGGAAUUCCUGGUGGAGCGGUGGAAUGCGCAGAUAUCAGGAGGAACACCAGUGGCGAAGGCGGUUCUCUGGGCCUUUCCUGACGCUGAGGAGCGAAAGCGUGGGGAGCGAACAGGAUUAGAUACCCUAGUAGUC
RNAcentral lists this ribosomal RNA (445 nucleotides) under uncultured bacterium. RNAcentral's name for it is "bacterial SSU rRNA". It matches the Rfam family "Bacterial small subunit ribosomal RNA", at positions 338 to 795 of the family's 1533-position model. The record is from RNAcentral.